CAUAUUCUGUAACCAGAAAGUCCACCGAGAGAGAGAGAGAGACCCAGAGAAAUAUGAGAGGUAUUACAGUAACAAAAUUUGCAGAGGGAGGGAGAGUAUCUAGUGUCUGGCUUGGAUGUGGAAAAUCUAGAGCUCAAAGAAAACCAAGAGGAAACAUCCAACUUAGUUUCUUCAGACAGAAAUGCGAUUCCUGUUAGUAGUCACAGCUGGUAGAGAGAGGGAUUUAGGCAUUUAGCUGAGAAAAUACUGUAGAGAGAGAAACAGAGGAUGGAUAUCUGCUCUGUCCACUGGAAGCAGAGCUAAAACAGAGCAGCAGCAGCAGCGCCACCACUGUCUCCUCAAGAUCACAAUGUCAUUUUCAGCAGAGGAACCAAUCACAGACGCUAACCAACCAUUGAAGAAGAGGUCACCAAGCUGGUCAGACCUCUGGCUCAAGAAUACUAAACCCUUAAAACAUGUCAUCUUUGCUAUGCAACUCCAGUCUCUCUCUAGCCCCACUCCAAACAAAGAAUCCAAAACCAAAACCCAAACCCUAAUCCCCAAAUUCUCCAAAAUCGACCGUACACUUCUCUUAAGCGACGAGCUUCUACUUAAAAUCCUCUCCAAACUAACCGAUUCGCACAGAAACCAUAACUUCCUCGUUUGCAAGCGGUGGCUUAAUCUCCAAGGCCGCCUUGUACGGUCCUUGAAGGUGUUAGAUUGGGAGUUUAUUGAGUCUGGUCGCUUAAUUGCAAGAUUCCCAAAUCUGACCAAUGUGGAUUUGAUUAACGGUUGUAUUGUUACGCCUCAUAAUUCUAGCAUUUGGUUAAACCACAGGUUUCUUUCUAUGAAUAUCAAUUUUGAGAUAUCUGGGUUUGUUCCAAAUUGGCGUAUUUGUGAGGAAAAUUUGUUGCCUGUUGAGGUAGUUGAUAGAGGGCUUCAAGCAUUGGCCAGUGCUUGUCCUAAUUUGCGCAAGCUCAUAGUGAUUGGUGCUAGUGAGUUAGGUUUGUUGAGUGUAGCUGAGGAGUGUCUAACUUUGCAAGAACUGGAGUUGCACAAGUGCAAUGAUAACGUCUUGCGUGGGAUUGCAGCAUGCGACAACUUGCAGAUAUUGAAACUUGUAGGAAAUGUGGAUGGCCUUUAUAGAUCUCUGGUUUCGGAUAUUGGGUUGACAAUUUUGGCGCAAGGGUGCAAGAGGUUAGUGAAGCUUGAGCUUAGUGGAUGUGAGGGUAGCUUUGAUGGCAUUAAAGCAAUUGGGCAGUGUUGCCAAAUGCUUGAGGAAUUUACCCUUUGUGAUCAUAGGAUGGAUGAUGGGUGGUUGGCUGCGCUUUCAUAUUGUGAGAAUUUGAAAACUUUGAGGUUUCUGUCAUGCAUGAAGAUUGAUCCUAAUCCAGGGCCAGAUGAGUAUUUGGUUUCGUGUCCAGCCCUUGAAAAGCUGCAUUUGCAGAAAUGUCAGUUCAGAGACAAAAAGAGUGUUAGAGCUUUGUUUAAGGUGUGUGAAGCUGUUAGGGAAAUUGUUGUUAAGGACUGCUGGGGAUUGGACAAUGAUAUGUUUAGCUCGGCAAGUGUUUGCAGGAGGGUAAAGUUACUAUCUCUAGAAGGAUGCUCCUUGCUAACAACACAGGGACUGGAGUCUAUACUUCUUACCUCUAAUGAACUUCAACAUCUUAGAGUACAGUCCUGUAAGCACAUAAAAGAUUGUGAAGUCUCUGCUACACUUUCAACAUUAUUCUCUAGUCUUAAAGAGUUCAAAUGGAGACCAGAUACCAAAUCUCUUCUUGUGUCUAGUCUUGUGGGGACUGGCAUGGGAAAGAAAGGUGGUAAAUUUUUCAAGAAGUCAUAAGCCCUGAAGUUGCAGUCUGAUGAUUAGCAUCUGCAAUUUGACCAUCCCUGGAUGAUCCAGGCUGCUGCUGAAAAUACUGUACUUUCAUAUAGGGAUCAUUUUAUUGUUCAUUUAACAGGCUGGCAUGGAUCCUACGGAGAUUAUUCUUCUUUCAUCUUCAUUUGCAUGGAGGAGCAAGCUGAUGGAUAAAAGCUUGGGAAAGUUUAGGUCUUUCAGACCCUCUGCAGCCCCUUCAGUGCACAUCAGGUGCCCUGUGUCCAAUUCGAUGGCAAAUUGUUGAGGCGAAGAACAUGCUUUUGACAUGUUGUAUCUGCCAGUCCUUCCUAUAUGUAAUUAGACCAAGAUAACAGAUCAGAUUAUCGCAACUGUCAAAAUAAUACAUAUAUAUUUGAUAUACGGCUGGUUGUAUCAUCCUUCACCUUGUUGAUUUUUAGCACGCUGAAUGUUGCUAUUUUUGCUGGGGAAACAAUCAAAAUUAUUAGACGUUAGAUGCAGCUGGUUUUGUUAAAUAACUCGAAAACAUUUGUUACUGCUGGUAAUUUAUGAUCAUGGACUGAUCUAAAUCCAUUUGUUGGAUCAAGAAUGAAGGAUUUCCCUUGAAUAGUUUUGCUAAAUUGAGAUGAGGAUAGGUUACUUUGCGGAAGGGAAAGGAUUUUGCUGUUGCCACUAUAAGCCACAGUGAACCAAUUUGCCUGGAUAAUCAAAUUAUUCAAUUAAUACACAUUAUUUAUAUGGGUUUUUUUU
This 2566-nucleotide unclassified non-coding RNA is filed under the name Hevea brasiliensis (rubber tree). The record is from RNAcentral. Lineage: Eukaryota; Viridiplantae; Streptophyta; Magnoliopsida; Malpighiales; Euphorbiaceae.